UCCUACGGGAGGCAGCAGUGGGGAAUAUUGGACAAUGGGCGCAAGCCUGAUCCAGCCAUACCGCGUGGGUGAAGAAGGCCUUCGGGUUGUAAAGCCCUUUUGUUGGGAAAGAAAAGCAGCCGGUUAAUACCCGGUGUCUGACGUACCCAAGAAUAGACCGACUCGA
This 166-nucleotide ribosomal RNA is filed under the name Stenotrophomonas sp. MA331. RNAcentral describes it as "partial 16S ribosomal RNA". It matches the Rfam family "Bacterial small subunit ribosomal RNA", at positions 337 to 499 of the family's 1533-position model. The record is from RNAcentral. Lineage: Bacteria; Pseudomonadati; Pseudomonadota; Gammaproteobacteria; Lysobacterales; Lysobacteraceae.